Molecule: long non-coding RNA, 433 nt
Filed under: Carica papaya (papaya)
Lineage: Eukaryota; Viridiplantae; Streptophyta; Magnoliopsida; Brassicales; Caricaceae
Description: long non-coding RNA (CPAP_LNC012727)
Source: RNAcentral
GUAGACUCUCCUCCUUCUUUGAUUAUUUUAUUGCAUUUAUUCUUAUUUUAAAAAAAUAAUUUUUUCUACCUAUUUUUAUUUUAAAAAAGAGAGAGAGAGAGAGACGAAAACGAGAAGAGAAAAGAGGAAAACAAUUCAUAAUUCAAAGGAAUCAAGAACACAAUCAACUCACAUGUUGAAGUUUGAAGCAGCAAUUAGGGUCCUUUGAAUUUCAUAUCAAAUUUCAAAUCUUUUAUACUCCAAAUUUGUUUAUACUUAAAUAUACCCACUUGUCAAACCUGAAAAAGGGCCAGUCUUUUAUGUAUUUAUACAUCAUGAACUUGAAGAAACGAGAAAAAAGCUAAACUUGAUCUCAACUUGUUCAAAGUUGAGAUCAAAACCCAUGAAGAAAACAAGAGAGAGUGAGAGAUGGGGAGACAAAAUAUGGUGNNNN